UACAGAGGGUGCGAGCGUUGUCCGGAUUUACUGGGCGUAAAGAGCGCGCAGGCGGUCGUGCAAGUCGCGUGUGAAAGCCCCCGGCUCAACUGGGGAGGGUCACGCGAUACUGCUCGACUCGAAGGCAGGAGAGGGAAGUGGAAUUCCCGGUGUAGUGGUGAAAUGCGUAGAUAUCGGGAGGAACACCAGUGGCGAAGGCGACUUCCUGGCCUGUUCUUGACGCUGAGGCGCGAAAGCUAGGGUAGCAAACGGG
This 253-nucleotide ribosomal RNA is filed under the name uncultured bacterium. RNAcentral's name for it is "partial 16S ribosomal RNA". It matches the Rfam family "Bacterial small subunit ribosomal RNA", at positions 524 to 776 of the family's 1533-position model. The record is from RNAcentral.